This 279-nucleotide long non-coding RNA is filed under the name Elaeis guineensis (African oil palm). RNAcentral's name for it is "long non-coding RNA (EGUI_LNC025952)". Lineage: Eukaryota; Viridiplantae; Streptophyta; Magnoliopsida; Arecales; Arecaceae. The record is from RNAcentral.
GCCCUUCCAUAUAGUAUAUUCCUCACUUUAGUAUUUAAAGCAUUUGGAAUCAACUUAGAUGGGGAACCAUCAAGAAGACUGCAACAUUUUGAUACUUAUAAUAACAAAUCAUUAUUGAGAAUGGGUUACCUCAAGGCUAAUGGUCAGUGGAUCAGAAAGGUAGGAGAAAUAGAAGAAGCUGAAAGAGAAAGAGAUAGAGAAAGAAGUGAGCCAAUGAAACAAGAGGAACAUGGCACUUUUAUGGCUCAGCCUGCUUAGAUUGCAAACUCUACUAAGACC